Long non-coding RNA from Drosophila guanche, 539 nucleotides. RefSeq lists it as uncharacterized. NCBI's taxonomy places the organism in Eukaryota, Metazoa, Arthropoda, Insecta, Diptera, Drosophilidae. The record is from RefSeq and is a predicted model, not a curated record. The transcript has 2 exons.
AUACCUGAAGAGAAAUACAGCCGCCGCUGAGCCGCUUAGAAUAUCAAAAAAGUGCCAAACGCAAAUAAGCGAUUGGCACUUAGUACUUAGUGCAAAUCUUUUACAUUGAAGCUACAAGUUCAUUCACCCUUGAACCAAAGCCGUGCAUUAAAGGCAAUAAAAUCACUCAAUUCGCCGAGUAGAAAAGCAACAAACAAAAACAGCUGUUUUGUCUACGGCAGUGCCGAAUAAUUAAUAAUUGAUUCCGCUCCCAGCGGUCGGGAAUUCGCCGCUAUUAGGCGCACCUAAAGCCAAGAGAAGCCGCUGCAAUUGGACGAGAAGUAGUUUAAUUCGCACCUCCGAAGCCACCGUCUAGACGGGGAAGCCUCGAUUUUCUAAUCGGGAAAUGUCGGUUAAAUAACCGUUCGUUAAACUUUUGUAUACAUAUCUCUGGCUUUUUUUGUCCCACCCUAGCCUAAGUGUAAAAUAAGUUUGGUAGUGUUAAGUGAAACAUGAAAUAUUAAGUGAUUACGGAGGAAUGUAAAAGUCACAUAAAAGUG